GCAGAGUUUAGGCAUCUCAAUCUCCUAUAGCCUAAAGGAAAACCGAUGGCCAAUAGAAGCAGCUCCAUCAUAAUCCUUGAGUUAGUGGCCAACUAGGAACCCAAUAUCAUACAUAGAUGGACAUUAAAAUCCUCCCCAAGAAGCUUAAAAACUGUAGACAAAUGAACGCAAGGCAAGCUUGAGGAGAGGACUUCUGCAUAAUCAUCCAUAGAAGAUCUUAAAAGAUCCUUCACAACGAAAUUAUAAGACCAGUAAUACUCAAUGCAAAGCUAUAUACCGCCAAAUUAGAAGGGAGAGGAAAG
This 302-nucleotide unclassified non-coding RNA is filed under the name Hevea brasiliensis (rubber tree). The record is from RNAcentral. Lineage: Eukaryota; Viridiplantae; Streptophyta; Magnoliopsida; Malpighiales; Euphorbiaceae.